RNAcentral lists this long non-coding RNA (518 nucleotides) under Brassica napus (rape). RNAcentral describes it as "long non-coding RNA (BNAP_LNC020091)". Lineage: Eukaryota; Viridiplantae; Streptophyta; Magnoliopsida; Brassicales; Brassicaceae. The record is from RNAcentral.
AACUAUUCAACAGAUUUGAUUCUCUAGUAUGCUGACGUGUUUGUCUUAUCCAAACCUAGCUCAUUGUGUAUAAGAGCAUCACAAUGUAAAUCUGGAAACGUUAAGUUGAAUAAUAUCCAGUAAAGUUCAUCUUCUCUCUAAAGCUUUCUUCAAGCUUUUCAUCGACUACAUGAGAUCACUGAUCCGAUCGACAUGAGAUCGUGAUCCUUAUUGUUUGUAAUCCUUCUUCUCUAUCAAUAAUGUGUUCUUUGGAUAUCUUUACUCUAUCAACGGUAUAACCACUAGUGUUGUUGACCUUAGCCGGUUCGGUCCUUCCCGGUUUACCAAAAGAAGAGGAGAGGUUCAGUGUAUAGUGUGCUUGGUUAUCAAAGCUACUCUUCUCGAUGUUGUCUUCCUUAAGAAAAUAGAAUCAUAGAAAAGCCGUUAAAUAAUGUGACAAUGAUGCGUACUGCGUGGUUGUGUUUUGUAAUUGUUGUGCAUUCCGCAUCGAAUCAAAAUGUACUAUUUUUUACUUUCCG